CAUUAAGAAGCUAUGAAAUAAGCGUUAGCCUUUUAAGCUAAAGAAAGUGGGACAAAUUACCCACCUUAAUGG
RNAcentral lists this transfer RNA (72 nucleotides) under Sylvietta virens (Green crombec). Its description in RNAcentral is "tRNA-Lys". It matches the Rfam family "tRNA". Rfam says of the family: Transfer RNA (tRNA) molecules are approximately 80 nucleotides in length. Their secondary structure includes four short double-helical elements and three loops (D, anti-codon, and T loops). Further hydrogen bonds mediate the characteristic L-shaped molecular structure. tRNAs have two regions of fundamental functional importance: the anti-codon, which is responsible for specific mRNA codon recognition, and the 3' end, to which the tRNAs corresponding amino acid is attached (by aminoacyl-tRNA synthetases). tRNAs cope with the degeneracy of the genetic code in two manners: having more than one tRNA (with a specific anti-codon) for a particular amino acid; and 'wobble' base-pairing, i.e. permitting non-standard base-pairing at the 3rd anti-codon position. Lineage: Eukaryota; Metazoa; Chordata; Aves; Passeriformes; Sylviidae. The record is from RNAcentral.